GGCCUCCCUGGCAAUGGGUGAAGAGUCACCUUGAUGGUGGUAAUUUUUAUCAGUCAGAGGCAGAGCAGUUGGCAGUCCUUUGUUCAUCCUAGCUUGAAGCCUGGUUUAGGGGCCAAGCUGUUUUGUGCCUAGGACACACAA
Arvicanthis niloticus (Nile rat) is the source of this 141-nucleotide small nucleolar RNA. RefSeq annotates it as small nucleolar RNA SNORA48. Lineage: Eukaryota; Metazoa; Chordata; Mammalia; Rodentia; Muridae. The record is from RefSeq and is a predicted model, not a curated record.